GACGAACGCGGCGGCGUGCAUAAUACAUGCAAGUAGAACGCUGAAGGAGGAGCUUGCUUCUCUGGAUGAGUUGCGAACGGGUGAGUAACGCGUAGGUAACCUGCCUGGUAGCGGGGGAUAACUAUUGGAAACGAUAGCUAAUACCGCAUAAGAGUAGAUGUUGCAUGACAUUUACUUAAAAGGUGCAAUUGCAUCACUACCAGAUGGACCUGCGUUGUAUUAGCUAGUUGGUGGGGUAACGGCUCAUCAAGGCGACGAUACAUAGCCGACCUGAGAGGGUGAUCGGCCACACUGGGACUGAGACACGGCCCAGACUCCUACGGGAGGCAGCAGUAGGGAAUCUUCGGCAAUGGACGGAAGUCUGACCGAGCAACGCCGCGUGAGUGAAGAAGGUUUUCGGAUCGUAAAGCUCUGUUGUAAGAGAAGAACGAGUGUGAGAGUGGAAAGUUCACACUGUGACGGUAUCUUACCAGAAAGGGACGGCUAACUACGUGCCAGCAGCCGCGGUAAUACGUAGGUCCCGAGCGUUGUCCGGAUUUAUUGGGCGUAAAGCGAGCGCAGGCGGUUAGAUAAGUCUGAAGUUAAAGGCUGUGGCUUAACCAUAGUACGCUUUGGAAACUGUUUAACUUGAGUGCAAGAGGGGAGAGUGGAAUUCCAUGUGUAGCGGUGAAAUGCGUAGAUAUAUGGAGGAACACCGGUGGCGAAAGCGGCUCUCUGGCUUGUAACUGACGCUGAGGCUCGAAAGCGUGGGGAGCAAACAGG
This 762-nucleotide ribosomal RNA is filed under the name uncultured Streptococcus sp. RNAcentral describes it as "bacterial SSU rRNA". It matches the Rfam family "Bacterial small subunit ribosomal RNA", at positions 28 to 776 of the family's 1533-position model. The record is from RNAcentral. Lineage: Bacteria; Bacillati; Bacillota; Bacilli; Lactobacillales; Streptococcaceae.